This 2951-nucleotide ribosomal RNA is filed under the name Longimonas halophila. RNAcentral's name for it is "bacterial LSU rRNA". It matches the Rfam family "Bacterial large subunit ribosomal RNA". Lineage: Bacteria; Pseudomonadati; Rhodothermota; Rhodothermia; Rhodothermales; Salisaetaceae. The record is from RNAcentral.
GUCAAGCAUAGAUAAGGCUCAUGGUGAAUGCCUUGGCAUAGACAGGCGAUGAAGGACGUGAUAAGCUGCGAAAAGCUACGGGGAGCUGCAAAUAAGCUGAGAUCCGUAGAUGUCCGAAUGGGGAAACCCGCUCUGGUACGUCCAGAGCACUUAGCGCUGAAAAGAUAGGCGUUAAGAGCGAACGCGGCUAACUGAAACAUCUAAGUAGCCGUAGGAAGAGAAAACAAUACAGUGAUUUCCUUAGUAGCGGCGAGCGAAGGGGAAAAAGCCUAAACUGAUAGGGUUUCGGCUCUAUCAGGGUUGUAGGACUUGCAAAUGAGACUCCACGUUGAAGACGAAGCCGACUGGAAAGCGGCACCAAAGAGGGUGAUAGUCCCGUAGACGUAAGACAACGAGUCUCGCAAGAAUCCUGAGUACCACGGGACCGGAGAAAUCCUGUGGGAAUCUACCAGCACCAUCUGGUAAGGCUAAAUACGCGUCUAUGACCGAUAGUGGACCAGUACCGUGAGGGAAAGGUGAAAAGAACGCCUAAUAGGCGAGCGAAAAGUACCUGAAACCAUGAGCUGACAACCAGUUGGAGCACCGAUUUCGAUCGGUGUGACAGCGUGCCUUUUGCUUAAUGAGCCUACGAGUUGCACUUUGCUGGCAAGGCUAAGACCCUCAGGGUCGAAACCGAAGCGAAAGCGAGUCUGAACAGGGCGCACAGUCAGUAAAGGCAGACGCGAAACCAAGUGAGCUACCCAUGACCAGGUUGAAGCGCGGGUAAGACCGCGUGGAAGACCGAACCGCCUGACGUUGAAAAGUCAUCGGAUGAGUUGUGGGUAGGGGUGAAAGGCCAAUCAAACUUGGAAAUAGCUCGUACUCCUCGAAAUGCAUUUAGGUGCAGCGCCAUGUAAGAGUCUACCGGAGGUAGAGCACUGAUUGGGCUAGGGCCCUUCACCGGGUACCAAACCCAGACAAACUCCGAAUGCCGGUACGAUGCACAUGGUAGUGAGGGCACGGGGGAUAAGCUCCGUGUCCGAGAGGGAAACAACCCAGAUCGACAGCUAAGGCCCCAAAGUUUAGACUAAGUUGAACGAAGGAGGUCUGACUGCUUAGACAACCAGGAUGUUGGCUUAGAAGCAGCCAUUCAUUCAAAGAGUGCGUAAUAGCUCACUGGUCGAGCGGUCGGGCACCGAAAAUAAACGGGCAUCAAGUCUAACGCCGAAGCUUCGAAUUGCUAUUCCGACUACGGUCGGAAUGCAGUGGUAGAGGAGCAUUCCAGCAGCGCAGAAGCCGUGUCGCGAGGCACCGUGGAGCUUCUGGAAAAGAAAAUGUAGGCAUGAGUAACGAUAAGACAAGUGAGAAACUUGUCCGCCGUAAACCUAAGAGUUCCUGUUCAACGCUAAUCGGAACAGGGUUAGUCGGGACCUAAGUCGAGGCCGAAAGGCGUAGACGAUGGAAAACGGGUCAACAUUCCCGUACCUCCCAACAACGUUAACAUAAGGCGUGACGCAGUCGCGUAAGAUCCGCGUAUCGACGGAAUGAUACGUUGAAGUGCGUAGGCUGGAGAGUAGGCAAAUCCGCUCUCCAUGAAGGCCGAAACACGACAGUAGGAGGAGCCGACAGGCAAAUCCAUAGUGAUCCCAAGUAUGCUGCCAAGAAAAGCGUCGUAUGUUGUUUCGGGAGCCCGUAUCUCAAACCAACACAGGUAGGUGAGGAGAAUAUCCUCAGGCGCUCGAGUGAUUCGUGGUUAAGGAAUUCGGCAAAUUAGUCCCGUAACUUCGGGAGAAGGGACGCCCUACUUUGUUCAAAAGGGAAGUAGGGCCGCAGUGAACAGACUCAAACGACUGUUUAACAAAAACACAGACCUCUGCUAAGUCGCAAGACGACGUAUAGGGGUUGACACCUGCCCGGUACCGGAAGGUUAAUGAAGUGUGUUAUUCUGACUUCGGUCAGAAGAAGCUCACGACUGAAGCCCCGGUAAACGGCGGCCGUAACUAUAACGGUCCUAAGGUAGCGAAAUUCCUUGUCGGGUAAGUUCCGACCUGCACGAAUGGUGCAACGAUUUGAGUACUGUCUCGACCACGAGCUCGGUGAAAUUGUGGUGUCGGUGAAGACGCCGACUCCCUACAGUGGGACGGAAAGACCCCGUGCACCUUUACUACACCUUGGCAUUGACAUUAGUCAGAAUAUGUGCAGGAUAGGCGGAAGGCUUGGAAGCAGCGUCGCUAGGCGCUGUGGAGCCAUCCCUGAAAUACCGCCCUUAUUCUGAUUGAUGCCUAACCCUCGGCCGUUAGCCGGUCGGGAGACAGUGUCAGGCGGGUAGUUUGACUGGGGCGGUCUCCUCCUAAAUAGUAACGGAGGAUUUCAAAGGUACCCUCAGCAUGGUCGGUAAUCAUGCAUAGAGUGCAAAGGCACAAGGGUGCUUGACUGCGAGACAUACAGGUCGAGCAGGUGCGAAAGCAGGACUUAGUGAUCCGGCGGUUCCGAAUGGAAGGGCCGUCGCUCAAAGGAUAAAAGGUACGCCGGGGAUAACAGGCUAAUCUCCGCCAAGAGUCCAUAUCGACGCGGAGGUUUGGCACCUCGAUGUCGGCUCGUCGCAUCCUGGAGCUGGAGAAGGUUCCAAGGGUUGGGCUGUUCGCCCAUUAAAGCGGCACGCGAGCUGGGUUCAGAACGUCGUGAGACAGUUCGGUCCCUAUCUACUGUAGGCGUUGGAAACUUGAACGGAGCUGCUUCUAGUACGAGAGGACCGAAGUGGACGAACCGCUGGUGUACCAGUUGCGUCGCCAGGCGCAUUGCUGGGUAGCUAUGUUCGGAAGGGAUAAGCGCUGAAAGCAUCUAAGCACUAAGCCCCCCGUAAGAUUAGGUUUCCCCAAUAGGUCGUUCGAGAUUAGGACGUGGAUAGGCAGCAGGUGUACGCAUGGCAACAUGUUUAGCCGAGCUGUACUAAUUACCUAUGAGGCUUGACC